GAACGGGUGAGUAACACGUGGGAAACCUACCUCUUAGCAGGGGAUAACAUUUGGAAACAGAUGCUAAUACCGUAUAACAAUAGCAACCGCAUGGUUGCUACUUAAAAGAUGGUUCUGCUAUCACUAAGAGAUGGUCCCGCGGUGCAUUAGUUAGUUGGUGAGGUAAUGGCUCACCAAGACGAUGAUGCAUAGCCGAGUUGAGAGACUGAUCGGCCACAAUGGGACUGAGACACGGCCCAUACUCCUACGGGAGGCAGCAGUAGGGAAUCUUCCACAAUGGGCGAAAGCCUGAUGGAGCAACGCCGCGUGUGUGAUGAAGGGUUUCGGCUCGUAAAACACUGUUGUAAGAGAAGAAUGACAUUGAGAGUAACUGUUCAAUGUGUGACGGUAUCUUGCCAGAAAGGAACGGCUAAAUACGUGCCAGCAGCCGCGGUAAUACGUAUGUUCCAAGCGUUAUCCGGAUUUAUUGGGCGUAAAGCGAGCGCAGACGGUUAUUUAAGUCUGAAGUGAAAGCCCUCAGCUCAACUGAGGAAUUGCUUUGGAAACUGGAUGACUUGAGUGCAGUAGAGGAAAGUGGAACUCCAUGUGUAGCGGUGAAAUGCGUAGAUAUAUGGAAGAACACCAGUGGCGAAAGGCGGCUUUCUGGACUGUAACUGACGUUGAGGCUCGAAAGUGUGGGUAGCAAACAGGAUUAGAUACCCUGGUAGUCCACACCGUAAACGAUGAGUGCUAGGUGUUUGAGGGUUUCCGCCCUUAAGUGCCGCAG
RNAcentral lists this ribosomal RNA (766 nucleotides) under uncultured Weissella sp. RNAcentral describes it as "bacterial SSU rRNA". It matches the Rfam family "Bacterial small subunit ribosomal RNA", at positions 100 to 851 of the family's 1533-position model. Lineage: Bacteria; Bacillati; Bacillota; Bacilli; Lactobacillales; Lactobacillaceae. The record is from RNAcentral.